GCCUUUGUGGUGUAGUAGUCAGCACUCUCGGUUCGUAUUCGAGAGGUUUGUGGUUCGAAUCCCGGCAAGGGCA
RNAcentral lists this transfer RNA (73 nucleotides) under Stegodyphus mimosarum. It matches the Rfam family "tRNA". Rfam says of the family: Transfer RNA (tRNA) molecules are approximately 80 nucleotides in length. The record is from Rfam by way of RNAcentral. Lineage: Eukaryota; Metazoa; Arthropoda; Arachnida; Araneae; Eresidae.